ACUUGGUUGAUCCUGCCAAUAUUCAUAUGCUUGUCUCAAAAAUUAAGCCACUUCGAAUGGCUCAUUAAAUCAGUUAUAGUUUGUUUAAUGGUAUCUACUACUCGGAUAACUAUAAUAAUUCUAUAGCUAAUAUGUGCAACAAACCCUAACUUCUGGAAGGGUUGCAUUUAUUAGAUAAAAGGUUGAUGCAAGCUUUUAUCAUUGCUCUGAUGUUCAUGAUAACUUGACAGUUUGCACAGCUUUUGUGCUAGUGACACAUCAUUGAAAUUUCUUCCCUAUCAAUAAUCAUUGGUAAGAUAGUGGCCUACUAAGGUGGUGACAAGUGACAAAGAAUUAGGGUUUGAUUCCAAAAAAAGAGCCAAAACCAGCAGACAUACAAAAUACCCAAUCCAGACAUAGAGAGGUAGUGAAAAUAAAUAACAAUACGAAGCUCUAUAAGUCUAGUAAUUGGAAUUGUACAAUCUAAAUCCCUUAAUGAGGAUCCAUUAAAAGGCAAAUUUGGUUCCAAAAACUAUGGUAAUUCUAGCUCUAAUAGCGUAUAUUUAACUUGUUACAAUUAAAAAGCUCAUAGUUGGGACUAGGGUUAGGUUGUCUGAUUCAUUUGAUGGUGAGCAUUAGUCUACUCAUCCCUACUGCUGACAAUGUGCUCCUAGCCAUAACUAGUCAGGUCAUUCCUCUGGUGCUAUUAUGUUGAAGAAAUUAGAGUGCUCAAAGCAAGCCUACACUUAUAUACAUUAGCAUGGGAUAACAUCAUAGGAUUUCGAUCCUAUUAUGUUGGCCUUCAAAAUCAAAGUAAUGAUAAUAGGGAUAGUCGAGGACAUUCAUAUUUCAUAGGUAAAGGUAAAAUUCUUAGAAUUAUGAAAGAUGAACAACUGUAAAAGUAGUUGAAAGGAUGUUUUUAUUAAUCAAGAAUGAAAGUUUAAGGCUAAAAAAUGAUCAGAUACCAUCCUAGUCUCAACCAUAAAUGAUGCCAGCCAAAGAUCGAUAGAUGUUACUUUUAGGACUACGCUGGCACCUUAUGAGAAAUCAAAGUCUUUAGGUUCUGGAGAGAGCAUGGUCACAAGGCUGAAACUUAAAAGAAUUGACAAAAGGGCGCCACCAGGAGUAAAGCCUAUAGCUUAAUUUGAUUCAACACGUGGAAACUUAUUAGAUCUAGAAAUAGUAAGCAUUGGCAGACUAUGAACUCUUUCUUGAUUCUAUGGGUGGUGAUGCAUGGCCAUUUUUAGUUGGUGGAGCAAUUUGUCUAGUUAAUUUUAUUAACGAAUGAGACCUCAGCUUGCUAACUAGCUACACAGAGGUGAUCCUUCGUAAGUAGCUUCUUUAAGGGACUGUAGCUACUUAGGCUAGGGAAGUUUGAAGCAAUAAUAGAUAUAUGAUGCCCUUAGAUGUUUUGGGCCACAUAGCACUACAUUGAUGUACUGAAUGAGUCUAUAGCCUUGGCCAAUAGGCUUGGCUAAUCUUUGAAAUUUCAUCAUGAUGGGGAUAGAUCGUUGCAAUUAUUGGCCUUCAGUAAGGAAUUCCUAGUAAGCACAAGUUAUCAACUCAUGUUGACUAAGUCCUUGCCCUUUGUACACACUGUCUAUCUCUCUUAUCGAUAGAAUGGUAUGGUAAAAUGUUUAGAUCAUGGCAAUGCAGAAGGUUCACUAUCAUAACAUUAUGAGAAGUCUAUUGAACCUUGUCAUUUAGAGGAACGAAAAGUUGCUACGAGGUUUUUGUAGGUGAACCUAUGGGAG
This 1733-nucleotide ribosomal RNA is filed under the name Durio zibethinus. Its description in RNAcentral is "SSU rRNA". It matches the Rfam family "Eukaryotic small subunit ribosomal RNA". Lineage: Eukaryota; Viridiplantae; Streptophyta; Magnoliopsida; Malvales; Malvaceae. The record is from RNAcentral.